UACGGAGGGUGCGAGCGUUGUCCGGAAUCACUGGGCGUAAAGGGCGCGUAGGCGGCCUGAUAAGUAGGGGGUGAAAUCCUGCGGCUUAACCGCAGGGCUGCCUUCUAAACUGUCAGGCUCGAGCACAGUAGAGGCAGGUGGAAUUCCCGGUGUAGCGGUGGAAUGCGUAGAGAUCGGGAAGAACAUCAGUGGCGAAGGCGGCCUGCUGGGCUGUUGCUGACGCUGAGGCGCGCCAGCGUGGGGAGCAAACAGG
This 253-nucleotide ribosomal RNA is filed under the name uncultured bacterium. RNAcentral's name for it is "partial 16S ribosomal RNA". It matches the Rfam family "Bacterial small subunit ribosomal RNA", at positions 524 to 776 of the family's 1533-position model. The record is from RNAcentral.